RNAcentral lists this unclassified non-coding RNA (253 nucleotides) under uncultured Solirubrobacteraceae bacterium. RNAcentral's name for it is "contains 16S-23S intergenic spacer region". It matches the Rfam family "Bacterial small subunit ribosomal RNA", at positions 524 to 776 of the family's 1533-position model. The record is from RNAcentral. Lineage: Bacteria; Bacillati; Actinomycetota; Thermoleophilia; Solirubrobacterales; Solirubrobacteraceae.
UACGAAGGGGGCAAGCGUUGUCCGGAAUCAUUGGGCGUAAAGCGCGUGUAGGCGGUCCGGUAAGUCCGCUGUGAAAGUCGGGGGCUCAACCCUCGAAAGCCGGUGGAUACUGUUGGACUAGAGUACGGAAGAGGCGAGUGGAAUUCCUGGUGUAGCGGUGAAAUGCGCAGAUAUCAGGAGGAACACCAAUUGCGAAGGCAGCUCGCUGGGACGUCACUGACGCUGAGACGCGAAAGCGUGGGGAGCAAACGGG